This 253-nucleotide ribosomal RNA is filed under the name uncultured prokaryote. RNAcentral describes it as "partial 16S ribosomal RNA". It matches the Rfam family "Bacterial small subunit ribosomal RNA", at positions 525 to 777 of the family's 1533-position model. The record is from RNAcentral.
ACGGAGGGUGCAAGCGUUAAUCGGAAUUACUGGGCGUAAAGCGCACGCAGGCGGUUUGUUAAGUCAGAUGUGAAAUCCCCGAGCUUAACUUGGGAACUGCAUUUGAAACUGGCAAGCUAGAGUCUUGUAGAGGGGGGUAGAAUUCCAGGUGUAGCGGUGAAAUGCGUAGAGAUCUGGAGGAAUACCGGUGGCGAAGGCGGCCCCCUGGACAAAGACUGACGCUCAGGUGCGAAAGCGUGGGGAGCAAACAGGA